RNAcentral lists this ribosomal RNA (151 nucleotides) under Trebouxia gelatinosa. RNAcentral's name for it is "5.8S ribosomal RNA". It matches the Rfam family "5.8S ribosomal RNA". From Rfam's summary of the family: 5.8S ribosomal RNA (5.8S rRNA) is a component of the large subunit of the eukaryotic ribosome. It is transcribed by RNA polymerase I as part of the 45S precursor that also contains 18S and 28S rRNA. Lineage: Eukaryota; Viridiplantae; Chlorophyta; Trebouxiophyceae; Trebouxiales; Trebouxiaceae. The record is from RNAcentral.
AACUCUCAACAACGGAUAUCUUGGCUCCCGUAACGAUGAAGAACGCAGCGAAAUGCGAUACGUAGUGGAAUUGCAGAAUUCCGUGAACCAUCGAAUCUUUGAACCAAAUUGCGCUCGAGGCCUCGGCUAAGAGCAUGUCUGGCUCAGCGUC